RNAcentral lists this long non-coding RNA (2793 nucleotides) under Sorghum bicolor (sorghum). RNAcentral's name for it is "long non-coding RNA (SBIC_LNC015499)". Lineage: Eukaryota; Viridiplantae; Streptophyta; Magnoliopsida; Poales; Poaceae. The record is from RNAcentral.
CGCCCAUAGCUCCUUCGACGGCGCCGCCUAGGAACGCGGAGAAAAUAUGACAAAGGAACGGCCAAAAAUAAAAAGAAAGACCUUUCUUUUGAAAAAACAAACAAAUAAAAGGAAUGCAACACAAGGACUUCCCAGGAGGUCACCCAUCCUAGUACUACUCUCGCCCAAGCACGCUUAACUUCGGAGUUCUGAUGGGAUCCGGUGCUUUAGUGCUGGUAUGAUCGCAUCCGACAUACCGUGCGUUCUCCUCCCCUUUAUGCCCGCGCCUCCGUGUACGGCCCGCCCAUAGCUCCUUCGACGGCGCCGCCUAGGAACGCGGAGAAAAUAUGACAAAGGAACGGCCAAAAAUAAAAAGAAAGACCUUUCUUUUGAAAAAACAAACGCCUCCGUGUACGGCCCGCCCAUAGCUCCUUCGACGGCGCCGCCUAGGAACGCGGAGAAAAUAUGACAAAGGAACGGCCAAAAAUAAAAAGAAAGACCUUUCUUUUGAAAAAACAAACAAAAAAAAGGAAUGCAACACGAGGACUUCCCAGGAGGUCACCCAUCCUAGUACUACUCUCGCCCAAGCACGCUUAACUUCGGAGUUCUGAUGGGAUCCGGUGCUUUAGUGCUGGUAUGAUCGCAUCCGACAUACCGUGCGUUCUCCUCCCCUUUAUGCCCGCGCCUCCGUGUACGGCCCGCCCAUAGCUCCUUCGACGGCGCCGCCUAGGAACGCGGAGAAAAUAUGACAAAGGAACGGCCAAAAAUAAAAAGAAAGACCUUUCUUUUGAAAAAACAAACGCCUCCGUGUACGGCCCGCCCAUAGCUCCUUCGACGGCGCCGCCUAGGAACGCGGAGAAAAUAUGACAAAGGAACGGCCAAAAAUAAAAAGAAAGACCUUUCUUUUGAAAAAACAAACAAAAAAAAGGAAUGCAACACGAGGACUUCCCAGGAGGUCACCCAUCCUAGUACUACUCUCGCCCAAGCACGCUUAACUUCGGAGUUCUGAUGGGAUCCGGUGCUUUAGUGCUGGUAUGAUCGCAUCCGACAUACCGUGCGUUCUCCUCCCCUUUAUGCCCGCGCCUCCGUGUACGGCCCGCCCAUAGCUCCUUCGACGGCGCCGCCUAGGAACGCGGAGAAAAUAUGACAAAGGAACGGCCAAAAAUAAAAAGAAAGACCUUUCUUUUGAAAAAACAAACAAAUAAAAGGAAUGCAACACGAGGACUUCCCAGGAGGUCACCCAUCCUAGUACUACUCUCGCCCAAGCACGCUUAACUUCGGAGUUCUGAUGGGAUCCGGUGCUUUAGUGCUGGUAUGAUCGCAUCCGACAUACCGUGCGUUCUCCUCCCCUUUAUGCCCGCGCCUCCGUGUACGGCCCGCCCAUAGCUCCUUCGACGGCGCCGCCUAGGAACGCGGAGAAAAUAUGACAAAGGAACGGCCAAAAAUAAAAAGAAAGACCUUUCUUUUGAAAAAACAAACAAAAAAAAAGGAAUGCAACACGAGGACUUCCCAGGAGGUCACCCAUCCUAGUACUACUCUCGCCCAAGCACGCUUAACUUCGGAGUUCUGAUGGGAUCCGGUGCUUUAGUGCUGGUAUGAUCGCAUCCGACAUACCGUGCGUUCUCCUCCCCUUUAUGCCCGCGCCUCCGUGUACGGCCCGCCCAUAGCUCCUUCGACGGCGCCGCCUAGGAACGCGGAGAAAAUAUGACAAAGGAACGGCCAAAAAUAAAAAGAAAGACCUUUCUUUUGAAAAAACAAACAAAAAAAAGGAAUGCAACACGAGGACUUCCCAGGAGGUCACCCAUCCUAGUACUACUCUCGCCCAAGCACGCUUAACUUCGGAGUUCUGAUGGGAUCCGGUGCUUUAGUGCUGGUAUGAUCGCAUCCGACAUACCGUGCGUUCUCCUCCCCUUUAUGCCCGCGCCUCCGUGUACGGCCCGCCCAUAGCUCCUUCGACGGCGCCGCCUAGGAACGCGGAGAAAAUAUGACAAAGGAACGGCCAAAAAUAAAAAGAAAGACCUUUCUUUUGAAAAAACAAACAAAAAAAAGGAAUGCAACACGAGGACUUCCCAGGAGGUCACCCAUCCUAGUACUACUCUCGCCCAAGCACGCUUAACUUCGGAGUUCUGAUGGGAUCCGGUGCUCUAGUGCUGGUAUGAUCGCAUCCGACAUACCGUGCGUUCUCCUCCCCUUUAUGCCCGCGCCUCCGUGUACGGCCCGCCCAUAGCUCCUUCGACGGCGCCGCCUAGGAACGCGGAGAAAAUAUGACAAAGGAACGGCCAAAAAUAAAAAGAAAGACCUUUCUUUUGAAAAAACAAACAAAAAAAAAGGAAUGCAACACGAGGACUUCCCAGGAGGUCACCCAUCCUAGUACUACUCUCGCCCAAGCACGCUUAACUUCGGAGUUCUGAUGGGAUCCGGUGCUUUAGUGCUGGUAUGAUCGCAUCCGACAUACCGUGCGUUCUCCUCCCCUUUAUGCCCGCGCCUCCGUGUACGGCCCGCCCAUAGCUCCUUCGACGGCGCCGCCUAGGAACGCGGAGAAAAUAUGACAAAGGAACGGCCAAAAAUAAAAAGAAAGACCUUUCUUUUGAAAAAACAAACAAAUAAAAGGAAUGCAACACGAGGACUUCCUAGGAGGUCACCCAUCCUAGUACUACUCUCGCCCAAGCACGCUUAACUUCGGAGUUCUAAUGGGAUCCGGUGCUUUAGUGCUGGUAUGAUCGCAUCCGACAUACCGUGCGUUCUCCUCCCCUUUAUGCCCGCGCCUCCGUGUACGGCCCGCCCAUAGCUCCUUCGACGGCGCCGCCUAGGAAC